Molecule: ribosomal RNA, 428 nt
Filed under: Gemmatimonadota bacterium
Lineage: Bacteria; Pseudomonadati; Gemmatimonadota
Description: Gemmatimonadetes bacterium partial 16S ribosomal RNA
Rfam family: Bacterial small subunit ribosomal RNA
Source: RNAcentral
UAGGGAAUCUUCGGCAAUGGACGAAAGUCUGACCGAGCAACGCCGCGUGAGUGAAGAAGGUUUUCGGAUCGUAAAACUCUGUUGUUAGAGAAGAACAAGGACGUUAGUAACUGAACGUCCCCUGACGGUAUCUAACCAGAAAGCCACGGCUAACUACGUGCCAGCAGCCGCGGUAAUACGUAGGUGGCAAGCGUUUCCGGAUUUAUUGGGCGUAAAGCGAGCGCAGGCGGUUUCUUAAGUCUGAUGUGAAAGCCCCCGGCUCAACCGGGGAGGGUCAUUGGAAACUGGGAGACUUGAGUGCAGAAGAGGAGAGUGGAAUUCCAUGUGUAGCGGUGAAAUGCGUAGAUAUAUGGAGGAACACCAGUGGCGAAGGCGGCUCUCUGGUCUGUAACUGACGCUGAGGCUCGAAAGCGUGGGGAGCAAACAGG